RNAcentral lists this RNase P RNA (364 nucleotides) under Puniceicoccales bacterium. RNAcentral describes it as "RNase P RNA component class A". It matches the Rfam family "Bacterial RNase P class A". Rfam says of the family: Ribonuclease P (RNase P) is a ubiquitous endoribonuclease, found in archaea, bacteria and eukarya as well as chloroplasts and mitochondria. Its best characterised activity is the generation of mature 5'-ends of tRNAs by cleaving the 5'-leader elements of precursor-tRNAs. The record is from RNAcentral. Lineage: Bacteria; Pseudomonadati; Verrucomicrobiota; Opitutia; Puniceicoccales.
GAGGGGAAGGCGUUCGCCCCCGGGAGCGAUCCCGGCGGGAGGAAAGUCCGGACACCGCAGAGCAGGAUUCCCGGUGAAAGCCGGGGCGGGAGGGAUCCCGACGGACAGUGUCACAGAAAAUAAACCGCCCACCGCGGGGUGGGUAAGGGUGAAAUGGUGGGGUAAGGGCCCACCGCGUCUCCGGGCGACCGGGGCGGCAGGACAAACCCAAUCCGGUGCAAGGCGGAAUAGGAGGUCGGGUUGCUCGCCCAAUGGCCUCGGGUACGCCGCACCUCCCCAGGGAGGAGUGUCCUUCGGGGCGCUAGAUAAAUGAACGCCGCGGUCCGGAUGAUGGGCCGCACAGAAUCCGGCUUACCCCUCACAC